GACGAACGCUGGCGGCGUGCUUAACACAUGCAAGUCGAACGGAAAGGCCCCUUUGGGGGUGCUCGCGCGGCGGACGGGUGAGUAACACGUGAGUAACCUGCCCUUCACUUCGUGGUAAUUUCAUCAAACUGGGGCUACUACUGCCUAGGAAUCGUUCCUGCUUCGUGGGGGUUGGAGAGCUGCGUCGGGGGUGGGGGAUCGACUCGCUGGUUAUCAGCUUGUUGGGGGGGUGGUGGCUUACCAAGGCUUUGACGGGUAGCCGGCCUGGGAGGGCGGCCGGCCACAUUGGGACUGGGGUACGGCCCAGACUCCGAAGGGAGGGAGCAGUGGGGAAUAUUGCACAAUGGGCGGAAGCCUGAUGCAGCAACGCCGCGGGCGGGAUGACGGGCCUCGGGUUGUAAACCGCUUUCAGCAGGGGCGAAGCUGGUGGUGACGGUACCUGCAGAAGAAGCACCGGCUAACUACGUG
This 468-nucleotide ribosomal RNA is filed under the name uncultured bacterium. RNAcentral's name for it is "partial 16S ribosomal RNA". It matches the Rfam family "Bacterial small subunit ribosomal RNA", at positions 28 to 507 of the family's 1533-position model. The record is from RNAcentral.